Molecule: long non-coding RNA, 1100 nt
Organism: Astyanax mexicanus (Mexican tetra)
Lineage: Eukaryota; Metazoa; Chordata; Actinopteri; Characiformes; Acestrorhamphidae
Exons: 3
Source: RefSeq, a predicted model, not a curated record
GACAAAGUGAAACCACCCCUUUGACUCUUUUUGAACAGAGAAACCAGCAGACACACUUUCAGAACAGGUGGACCUUCAAGUCUGAAUGAGGACAUGACACCCUGCCCUCUAGAGGCAAUACCUGCAGGACUUGAUCAAAUUCCUGCAGAGAGAGAUGAGGAGCCAAAACACACAAAUCAGAACAGUCAGCAAAAAAUACAGCCGGAGGGCAUGGAGGCGGGCGACAUAAGGCAUAGACUGCAAAGUUUCAACUUUAUUCGUCCCACUAUGGAUGAAGCAGCAAAGAAAUCUUCUGGCAAGACAGAAUAAACAAUAUGAAUCACAUUUUAACCGUUUUUUUAUAUCCUGAUUAUGUUUUCUGACAGUUGCAUAAAAUUUAACAUACAAUUUCAAAUCUUAAAUUGAUAUACUAAAUUGAUCCUUUUUUAGUAUCUGUUCUCCACAAUUGGCUGCAGUCAUGUAGUAGUACAUUGUGUGUCUGUGUAGGUUACAAAUUAUUUUUUUUUAUUUACCAAAUCAUGUAAUACACACAGCCUUGCACAUCUGUUUUAAUAACAAUAUCCUGCCUAGCAUAUGCCUGCCUCAAUACAUGUGAAGCCAGCCUUCACCUCUUUUUUAACUGCUGCUAAUAAAGGGUAAGUAACACACCUUGGAACAAUCAUGCUCCAUUGUGUAUGUUUACAACACACUGAAUGUAUUAUUUAUUAUUAUCUAAUUCAGCUGGAUAAGCUCUGAUCCGUUAGACCGCAACUAAUUGUGCUCUAAAACCAUAAAUAUUAGGAGGUAGUUUUUUCAUACCUGCUGCUAUGAGUUGUUGCAACCACAAGAAUAUUAUUGAGUUUGAGAAAUAAUCCCUUGAUCACUGUCAGCACCACAGUUCAUUACAAAGUUGUUGAGUGCACAGUCAUGUAAUCUAAAACUAACUAAAGGUAAUUGAAAACAUGGUUGCCACCAAGUUAAAAACAUUUGAUUGUCUUUACACUGUAUGCAGUAAAAUUACUUUCCUAAAUUAUGUUUAACUCACAGUAUCAUUUGUGAUUUGUUGACUGUCAGCAAAAUGUUAUUUGUUUAUAAAUAAACGGCAUACAUGUUUAGAAGCA